Molecule: RNA transcript, 6267 nt
Organism: Zingiber officinale
Lineage: Eukaryota; Viridiplantae; Streptophyta; Magnoliopsida; Zingiberales; Zingiberaceae
Gene name: putative 1-phosphatidylinositol-3-phosphate 5-kinase FAB1C
Exons: 12
Source: RefSeq, a predicted model, not a curated record
ACAAGUCGCUUCUUCCAUUCCCUUUUGUUUAUUUCGUCGUCUCCGGCACCACAACAGAUUUCUGCCGUCGCCGAAGAUGGGAUGCGCCGCCGGGAUCUGGUCGCUCGAUGCCUGCCGCCCCUCCUGGAGAUAUCGAGCCCUCAACUUCCGCCGCGUCCUCCUCCUGCCUUUCAUUUAGCGUCCUCGGCUUGCUCCGGCUCCCAAGGUCGAGCCUUUUUCUCUGAUGGUCAGAGACCCGAGUGGGGCCUUUGCAGAGCAAUCAGGGAUCGGUUGACGGGUUGAAGCUCCUUCUUUGGCGUCCGGAUCUGGUUUCGGGGCAGCAAGAGCCAAAAAAAGGGAUGCUGUUUGUGCUUGCUCUUUCCCGCUUCACCCUGAUUGUACAUAGUAGCUCCCGGUCGCCGGUUAGAGAAAGUUUUGGUCUCUUCCGGAGGUUGUAGGUUUUACGGGUUUUGGUUUUUGUGCUUCGUGCUUGGCAAUCGGUUUUUGGGGAUUGAAAGGAGUCGGAAGACUCGUUUUUUGUUUUUGUUUUUGUUUUUGGGGUUUUGUUUUUCUACUUUUUGUUUCUUGGGUGGGAGCUUAUCUUGUCAGUUUGAAGUUUACGAAAGAUCUUGACAAGAGAAAAGAGGGAAAAAGAAAAAAGAAUUACGGAGGGAAGGGGAACUGCUAGGUUUUUUUAUGACCGAGAGCAGUUUCAGUUUAUGGGAGUUGCUAAUUACCCUAUUCUUGAUCUGAUACUAAAGGUCAGAUCUUGGGCGAGCAUUGUUCCUGACGUGUUGUCUGAAUCCUUGAUGUCGUCGGUCGGUGUUCUCGUUGCGUGCAGCGAGUGUAGAGAGUACUUGUCGCCCGGGUCUAGCUACCGAUGCCGCGGCUGUGGCCGGUUGCUGUGCCGGAAGUGUAUGCUUAGUGCUGCCUCGACUUCAGAUCGAGCUGAACAGCAGAUGUGUCUUUGUAACUUAUGCUUUCCAGUUGACAAUGGACCCUGGGAAGCAGCACAGCCUCAUGACAUCCCGAUUACGGAAACCAGUCCUUUUACAUCUCCUAAGUCGCCCUUGUCCAGAUCUAGCACUGAUAGGCUCAGCCAGUUGGUAGAGCUGCGACGGUUGUCUUCUCCGCGCCUGCUUCAUUGCUCAACGUACAAAAGUUAUAAUGACCACCAGGGUGAGGAUGAGGGGAAGCAGUUUUUCACGCCUAUGAGCAUAUUCUCUCAAGAGUUUUCGGACAUAGAUUCUAUGAGUAUCAGUGCUGGAAAUGAGUUGUGCAGCUUCAAGUCAGCAAAUUCAAGUCCUUUUGACAGUCCGUGUAGAUCCAUUGAACAAGGGCUAGCUAGCUCUCUCCUGGAACAGACUGUCCUUUUUAGUCAAGGUUCACCACAUCAGUUCAGCAAACACAGAGUAGAUGCUGAGGAUUUACUGGAGAAUGCUAAUGAUGAUUCAAUUUCUGAGAACGUCAUGAUAGACGAUGAUCAAGAUAGUCAAAAAGCUGCAGAACAUUGUGAUUUUGAGAAUGAUAAAAUCUUUUACCCUCCUAUCCCUGAGGACGAGCAAGAUGAUGAUGAAACUAACUUCUUUGGAUAUAUUGAUGAGGAUGAUGAUGUUGAUGAAUCAUCCAAGUUCUUCAGAACUAGUAGCUUCAGUAGUGAUUCCUUCCACAAUAGAGAGAAGUCUAAUGAGUCUCACAAGGAGGCUUUAAAGAAUGUUCAUGCUCAUUUUAGUGCUCUUGUAUCGCAGUUGUUGAAGGGAGAAGGUGUUUGUGCGGGAAGUGAUCAAAAGGGGCUGGACUGGCUGGAAAUAAUAUCUUCAUUAGCAUGGCAAGCUGCUAAUUUCGUUAAACCGGACACCAGCCGUGGUGGUAGCAUGGAUCCAGGUGACUAUGUUAAAGUCAAGUGUAUAGCAUCAGGCCGUCCAAGUGAUAGCAUCCUAGUCAAGGGAGUAGUCUGUACAAAGAAUGUAAAGCACAAACGUAUGCUUGCACUGCAUAAGAACCCUAGGUUGCUUCUUUUAGGAGGCUCACUGGAGUAUCAAAAGGCUCCAAAUGAAUUGGCAUCUAUCGUAUCUGUUCUUGAGAAGGAAACCAAUUACAUGAAUACAAUGCUUUCUAAGAUAGAGGCACUUCGUCCAAAUGUACUUCUUGUUGAGAAAAGUGCUUCUUCAUAUGCUCAAGAAUAUCUUUUGGAAAGAAAAGAGGUGUCUUUAGUGCUAAAUGUCAAGAAACCUCUGUUAGAGAGGAUAUCCAAGUGUACAGGUGCUCAGAUUGUUCCAUCCGUCAAUGGUCUUUCUUCAGCGACGUUAGGGCACUGUGAAAUGUUUCGGAUAGAAAAAGUAUAUGAAGAAUUCUCAUCUACCAAACAGGCAAAGAAGCCAUGCAAAACUUUGAUGUUUUUUGAAGGCUGUCCACGACGUUUAGGGUGCACGGUUCUUCUGAGGGGUGCAUGUCUUGAAGAAUUGAAGAAGCUAAAGCAUGUUAUCCAGUAUGCAAGUUUUGCAGCUUAUCAUCUAUCAUUGGAGACAUCAUUCCUAGCUGACGAGGGCGCUUCCCUGCCUAAAUUUCCUAUAGUGCCUUCAAUUGAGUUGCCUAAGAAGCUUAUUGAGGCCGAUCAAUUUCACUCUACAGUUUCUAGUGUGACUUCUCCUGACAAAACUGUUGGUAAUAAUCAUCAAAACGAUAGGUCAGGCAUCAAACUUGACAUAGAGAGGUUGAAUCUAUCCUUGGAUAUCAUCCAUUCACACGAAGAAUUACUUGAAAAUAUUUCAGAUCCUCAAAAAUCUAACUCUUUGUUUGAGUUAACUAGCAUUUCUGAUAUGAAUGAAUUUUCUAAUCAAAGGGGCACUGCUUUCAAAUCCUCUCCAUAUGUUUUCAUUUGUGGGCCAGAAACUGGUUUCUCUUUCAAGGAACCAACUUGCAUUUCACCUUUAUCUAUCCAUCCUAGCAAUCACCAAGGUGCAAUGCUUGAACAAUCAGUUAAAGAAAGAAGUAAGGAUUCUAAUGACAGGCUUCUUAUGCCAGAAGAUGGACAUAAUAAGUCAGAUAUUGCUCUUGAGAAUGAAGUUCCUGGAAAUUACUUUUCCACUGCUGAUAACCACCAGAGCAUAUUGGUUUCCUUAUCAAGCACUUGUAUAAGAAAAAGCCAAGUUUGUGAGCGAUCCCAACUUUUCCGAAUCAAGUUUUAUGGUAGUUUUGAUAAGCCUCUUGGUAGAUAUCUUCGUGAUGAUUUGUUUGAUGAGACAUAUUGUUGUCCGUCUUGUAAAGAGCCAACAGAAUCCCAUGUUCGUUGUUAUACUCACCAACAUGGCAGCCUUACUAUCAUGGUCAGACGACUUCCUUCUGUAAAAUUACCUGGUGAACAUGAUGGAAGGAUAUGGAUGUGGCACAGAUGCCUUAAGUGCAAAAGAGACGAGGAUGGAGUGCCACCAGCUGCACGUAGAGUCAUCAUGUCUGAUGCUGCAUGGGGGCUUUCUUUUGGGAAAUUCUUGGAACUUAGCUUCUCAAGUCAUGCUACUGCUAACCGUGUUGCAAGUUGUGGCCACUCACUUCAAAGAGAUUGCCUUCGCUUCUACGGGUUUGGCAACAUGGUCGCCUUCUUUCAUUAUUCCCCUGUAGAUAUCUUAUCUGUUUGCUUACCGCUAUCAGUUCUGGAUUUCAACUGCCAUGUUGAGCAAAAAUGGUUGAAAGAGGAGGCAGAUCUGGUAUCCAAUAAAAUAAAUAUUUUGCAUGAUAAGAUUUCUGAUGUGCUACAUACAAUUGAGAGGAAGGUCACAACAUUUGAGAAUGAACCCUUGAAAGCAAGUAUUCAGAGACAUGCUAACAAGCUGAAGGAUUUGCUUAUUGAAGAACGGCAUGACUAUGAUGUCUUGCUUCAACAAGUUGCAUUUGGAAAUACUCAACCCCCUCAGGAAAUGCUUGACAUCUUAGAGCUUAACCGGUUGAGACGUGCACUUCUACUUGAUUCAUACGUGUGGGAUCGUCGACUUUAUUCACUGGACUCGUUGUCCAAGGAGAAAAAUUGUACCGUGACUGGCUUGCCUCUUGUUAACUUCCCCUCUAGAAGCAAUAUGAGCGAUUUGAGGGAAGAAAUAUCUUUGACGGAUGAAUCAUUUAGUAGCUUGCCUGGAGAAACUGCUGCAAAGUCACCUUUUUCAGGUACAAUUGAAAAAUCAAGUUUUCAGAAGAAGAAGAAUGAGGAUCUUAGCUUGGAGAUUUUUGACUGUAACACAAACAACAUGGUUGAAAUGGACUUGUCCAUAGAGGGGUACUUAGGCUCAGCGGGUUUUAACUUUGUCUCUAGUCAAUUUGAAGACGACACACCUGUGUUUGGUGACAAUGGAAGUACUGUUUUGGAGAACUCAACUUUGCCCACAUCUAGCCUUUCAGAUAAAAUUGAUUUAGCAUGGAGUGGUUCUGGUCAGCCUCUGAUGGAUGGACCAAAAGAUUGUUCAGAGGUUGAUAAAAGUGGAUUUCUAAAGGACACUCCAUCCUACAGGAGGGUUAAUUCCCCAUUAAGGGUUCAUUCGUUUGAUUCUGCUUUAAAAUUCCGUAGAAGAGUAAUUGGUGGUUUCCUUCCUGCUUCGUUGCAUUUAAGUUCAGUGAGAUCCUUUGAUUCCUCUAGGGGUCUUUCAAGCAUGGCAAACAAUCCACUUAUAAGCAUGAGAAGAGCGUACUCACAGAGUUCUCCAGUUCCCAGAUUGGAUAAUUUUCUCAAUCGCACGCCUAUGCAUAUUUCACCGAUAAUGGAUAAGAUGACUGCAGGGGCACGGUUACUAUUACCUCAAAGUGCUCUUGACAAUAUUGUUAUUGCAGUCUAUGAUGAUGAACCCUCCAGCAUCAUAUCCUAUGCUAUGACUUCCCAACAAUAUGGUGACUAUAUAACAUCCUGUUUAGAUGAAAUUGAGAACUUUAGUAUGAGCAAAACUAGUAGUUUUGGUAACCAUCACAGCAACCAUGCUGAUGGAACAGGUUUACUACCUCAUCAGGCUGUUCUUGGAUCUGAGGAGCCUAAAGUUUCUCGGGUAUUAGACUCGAAGGAAACUCAUUUCAGAGUUUCUUUUGAUGAUGAGUAUUCCAUUCCUUCAGAUAAAGCAAACUUUUCUGUUACUUGUUACUUCACAAAGCAAUUUCAUGCACUAAGGAAGUUAUGCUGUCCAAGUGAAUUGGAUUACAUACGCUCCUUAAGCCGCUGCAAGAGAUGGAGUGCACAAGGUGGUAAAAGCAAUGUUUAUUUUGCCAAGUCAUUGGAUGAGAGAUUUAUCAUAAAGCAAAUCACGAAAACAGAGUUGGAUUCUUUUGAAGAUUUUGCUUCAGAAUAUUUCAAAUAUUCAACAGAAGCUAUUACUUCUGGUAGCCCAACCAGCCUUGCCAAAGUCCUUGGUAUUUAUCAGGUGUCUGUUAAGCACUCCAAAGGUGGAAGGGAAAUGAAAAUUGAUGUCAUGGUAAUGGAGAAUCUGUUCUUUAAUAGGAGUAUUUCAAGAAUUUAUGAUCUCAAAGGUUCAGUCCGCUCUCGUUAUAACCCUGAUACCACGGGAAACAAUACAGUUCUACUAGAUUUAAAUCUGUUAGAGAUGAAACCAAUAUUUAUAGGAAGCAAGGCCAAGAGAAGAUUGGAACGUGCUGUUUGGAAUGAUACUUCUUUUCUGGCAUCUAUCUAUGUCAUGGACUACUCAUUGCUUGCUGGCAUCGAUGAGACAAAGAACGAGCUUGUUAUAGGAAUAAUAGACUACAUGCGACAAUACACAUGGGACAAGCAGCUCGAAACCUGGGUAAAAGCCUCAGGCAUCCUCGGUGGCCCAAAAAAUGCGACUCCGACUGUAAUAUCACCAUUGCAGUACAAGAAAAGAUUCAGGAAAGCCAUGUCAAAUUACUUCCUUACAGUCCCUGACCAGUGGUCGUCUUGAGCCUCCUUGUCAUCGUCUGCAAAGAUGUUCGAUCUGUUCCCACGAAUCUAGAGUCGAAUUUGUCAAUAAAACUCAUUCCAGAAAGAUGAGAAUAGGUGGAUGCAUAGGAAUGAGGAAACAAAACAGGGGAGUUCAAAGAACAAGUUUACGAUGAAAAGUGAUCAUCUAUCCCCUCCCCGUUCUUUCUUCCUAUUCAACCAAAAUACGGAUAUGGAUCGCAUUCGAAUUUGUUCCGUCAUCCUUGAUUGUAAUUGAGUGACAACACUCAACUUCAUUGUUAUAUUAAAAUACGGAUAUGUCAGUUUGACGUUCUGAAAAGUAUAGUCUGAUGCUAAUCCUCGACUAGAUUUAAAAAUGAGGCUUGUAAUGCAUUGGUUUUUUA